AGGUAAGCUACUAAGAGCGAAUGGUGGAUGCCUUGACUGGUAAAGGCGAUGAAGGACGUACUAGACUGCGAUAAGCUACGGGGAGCUGUCAAGAAGCUUUGAUCCGUAGAUUUCCGAAUGGGGCAACCCAAUGUAUAGAGAUAUACAUUACCUAUAUAGGAGCGAACGAGGGGAAUUGAAACAUCUUAGUACCCUCAGGAAAAGAAAUCAAUAGAGAUUGCGUCAGUAGCGGCGAGCGAAAGCGCAAGAGGGCAAACCCAGUGCUUGCACUGGGGGUUGUAGGACUGCAAUGUGCAAGAGGUGAGUUUAGCAGAACAUUCUGGAAAGUAUAGCCAUAGAGGGUGAUAGUCCCGUAUGCGAAAAACAAACCUUAGCUAGCAGUAUCCUGAGUAGGGCGGGACACGAGAAAUCCUGUCUGAAGCUGGGUCGACCACGAUCCAACCCUAAAUACUAAUACCAGAUCGAUAGUGCACAAGUACCGUGAGGGAAAGGUGAAAAGAACUGAGGUGAUCAGAGUGAAAUAGAACCUGAAACCAUUUGCUUACAAUCAUUCAGAGCACUAUGUAGCAAUACAGUGUGAUGGACUGCCUUUUGCAUAAUGAGCCUGCGAGUUGUGGUGUCUGGCAAGGUUAAGCAAACGCGAAGCCGUAGCGAAAGCGAGUCUGAAUAGGGCGCUUAGUCAGAUGCUGCAGACCCGAAACGAAGUGAUCUAUCCAUGAGCAAGUUGAAGCUAGUGUAAGAACUAGUGGAGGACUGAACCCAUAGGCGUUGAAAAGCCCCGGGAUGACUUGUGGAUAGGGGUGAAAGGCCAAUCAAACUUCGUGAUAGCUGGUUCUCUCCGAAAUAUAUUUAGGUAUAGCGUUGUGUCGUAAUAUAAGGGGGUAGAGCACUGAAUGGGCUAGGGCAUACACCAAUGUACCAAACCCUAUCAAACUCCGAAUACCUUAUAUGUAAUCACAGCAGUCAGGCGGCGAGUGAUAAAAUCCGUCGUCAAGAGGGAAACAACCCAGACUACCAGCUAAGGUCCCUAAAUCUUACUUAAGUGGAAAACGAUGUGAAGUUACUUAAACAACCAGGAGGUUGGCUUAGAAGCAGCCAUCCUUUAAAGAAAGCGUAAUAGCUCACUGGUCUAGUGAUUUUGCGCGGAAAAUAUAACGGGGCUAAAGUAAGUACCGAAGCUGUAGACUUGAUUUUAUCAAGUGGUAGGAGAGCGUUCUAUUUGCGCCGAAGGUAUACCGGUAAGGAGUGCUGGAGCGAAUAGAAGUGAGCAUGCAGGCAUGAGUAGCGAUAAUUAAUGUGAGAAUCAUUAACGCCGUAAACCCAAGGUUUCCUACGCGAUGCUCGUCAUCGUAGGGUUAGUCGGGUCCUAAGUCGAGUCCGAAAGGGGUAGACGAUGGCAAAUUGGUUAAUAUUCCAAUACCAACAUUAGUGUGCGAUGGAAGGACGCUUAGGGCUAAGGGGGCUAGCGGAUGGAAGUGCUAGUCUAAGGUCGUAGGAGGUUAUACAGGCAAAUCCGUAUAACAAUACUCCGAGAACUGAAAGGCUUUUUGAAGUCUUCGGAUGGAUAGAAGAACCCCUGAUGCCGUCGAGCCAAGAAAAGUUUCUAAGUUUAGCUAAUGUUGCCCGUACCGUAAACCGACACAGGUGGGUGGGAUGAGUAUUCUAAGGCGCGUGGAAGAACUCUCUUUAAGGAACUCUGCAAAAUAGCACCGUAUCUUCGGUAUAAGGUGUGGUUCGCUUCGUAUUAGGAUUUACUCCGAAAGCGAAGAAACUUACAACAAAGAGUCCCUCCCGACUGUUUACCAAAAACACAGCACUCUGCUAACUCGUAAGAGGAUGUAUAGGGUGUGACGCCUGCCCGGUGCUCGAAGGUUAAUUGAUGGGGUUAGCAUUAGCGAAGCUCUUGAUCGAAGCCCGAGUAAACGGCGGCCGUAACUAUAACGGUCCUAAGGUAGCGAAAUUCCUUGUCGGUUAAAUACCGACCUGCAUGAAUGGCGUAACGAGAUGGGAGCUGUCUCAAAGAGGGAUCCAGUGAAAUUGUAGUGGAGGUGAAAAUUCCUCCUACCCGCGGCAAGACGGAAAGACCCCGUGGACCUUUACUACAGCUUGACACUGCUAUUUGGAUAAGAAUGUGCAGGAUAGGUGGGAGGCUUUGAGUAUAUGACGCCAGUUGUAUAUGAGCCAUUGUUGAGAUACCACUCUUUCUUAUUUGGGUAGCUAACCAGCUUGAGUUAUCCUCAAGUGGGACAAUGUCUGGUGGGUAGUUUGACUGGGGCGGUCGCCUCCCAAAUAAUAACGGAGGCUUACAAAGGUUGGCUCAGAACGGUUGGAAAUCGUUCGUAGAGUAUAAAGGUAUAAGCCAGCUUAACUGCAAGACAUACAAGUCAAGCAGAGACGAAAGUCGGUCUUAGUGAUCCGGUGGUUCUGUGUGGAAGGGCCAUCGCUCAAAGGAUAAAAGGUACCCCGGGGAUAACAGGCUGAUCUCCCCCAAGAGCUCACAUCGACGGGGAGGUUUGGCACCUCGAUGUCGGCUCAUCGCAUCCUGGGGCUGGAGCAGGUCCCAAGGGUAUGGCUGUUCGCCAUUUAAAGCGGUACGCGAGCUGGGUUCAGAACGUCGUGAGACAGUUCGGUCCCUAUCUGCCGUGGGCGUAAGAAGAUUGAAGAGAUUUGACCCUAGUACGAGAGGACCGGGUUGAACAAACCACUGGUGUAGCUGUUGUUCUGCCAAGAGCAUCGCAGCGUAGCUAAGUUUGGAAAGGAUAAACGCUGAAAGCAUCUAAGCGUGAAGCCAACUCUAAGAUGAAUCUUCUCUAAGCUCUCUAGAAGACUACUAGUUUGAUAGGCUGGGUGUGUAAUGGAUGAAAGUCCUUUAGCUGACCAGUACUAAUAGAGCGUUUGGCUUAUCUUU
This 2908-nucleotide ribosomal RNA is filed under the name Campylobacter coli. RNAcentral describes it as "23S ribosomal RNA". It matches the Rfam family "Bacterial large subunit ribosomal RNA". Lineage: Bacteria; Pseudomonadati; Campylobacterota; Epsilonproteobacteria; Campylobacterales; Campylobacteraceae. The record is from RNAcentral.